GCCAUCAUAGCUUAGUGGUAGAGCAUCGGUCUUGUAAACCGAAGGUCGUGGGUUCGAUUCCCAUUGGUGGCU
This is a non-coding RNA of Eimeria tenella, 72 nucleotides long. The record is from Rfam. Lineage: Eukaryota; Apicomplexa; Conoidasida; Eucoccidiorida; Eimeriidae.